GGGAGCUUGCACAGGUGCUGCAUGGCUGUCGUCAGCUCGUGUCGUGAGAUGUUCGGUUAAGUCCGCUAACGAGCGCAACCCUCGCUGUGUGUUAUAUGUGUCACACGGGACUGCCGGUCUUAAGCCGGAGGAAGGUGGGGAUGAUGUCAAGUCAGCAUGGCCUUUAUAUCCUGGGCUACACACACGCUACAAUGGCCAACACAAUAGGUUGCUAAGCCGCGAGGUGGCGCCAAUCCAUAAAGUUGGUCUCAGUUCAGAUUGUAGGCUGCAACCCGCCUGCAUGAAGAUGGAGUUGCUAGUAACCGCAGGUCAGCUAUACUGCGGUGAAUACGUUCCCGGGCCUU
RNAcentral lists this ribosomal RNA (344 nucleotides) under uncultured Leptolinea sp. RNAcentral describes it as "bacterial SSU rRNA". It matches the Rfam family "Bacterial small subunit ribosomal RNA", at positions 1024 to 1382 of the family's 1533-position model. Lineage: Bacteria; Bacillati; Chloroflexota; Anaerolineae; Anaerolineales; Anaerolineaceae. The record is from RNAcentral.